RNAcentral lists this ribosomal RNA (494 nucleotides) under uncultured bacterium. RNAcentral describes it as "bacterial SSU rRNA". It matches the Rfam family "Bacterial small subunit ribosomal RNA", at positions 19 to 518 of the family's 1533-position model. The record is from RNAcentral.
UCGUGUCAGGAUGAACGCUGGCGGCGUGCCUAACACAUGCAAGUCGAGCGGAGAUAAAGGGUGAUUCUUCGGAUGAAUCCUUAUCUUAGCGGCGGAUGGGUGAGUAACACGUGGGUAACCUGCCCUGCACAGGGGGAUAACAGCUGGAAACGGCUGUUAAUACCGCAUAUGCACACGCUGCCGCAUGGCAGGGGGUGGAAAGAUUUAUCGGUGCAGGAUGGGCCCGCGUCGGAUUAACUAGUUGGCAGGGUAACGGCCUACCAAGGUGAUGAUCCGUAGCCGACCUGAGAGGGUGACCGGCCACAUUGGGACUGAGACACGGCCCAAACUCCUACGGGAGGCAGCAGUGGGGGAUAUUGCACAAUGGGCGGAAGCCCUGAUGCAGCGACGCCGCGUGAAGGAAGAAGUAUUUCGGUAUGUAAACUUCUAUCAGCGGGGAAGAAGAUGACGGUACCCGACUAAGAAGCCCCGGCUAACUACGUGCCAGCCGCGGC